This 253-nucleotide ribosomal RNA is filed under the name uncultured bacterium. Its description in RNAcentral is "partial 16S ribosomal RNA". It matches the Rfam family "Bacterial small subunit ribosomal RNA", at positions 524 to 776 of the family's 1533-position model. The record is from RNAcentral.
UACGUAGGGGGCAAGCGUUGUCCGGAUUUAUUGGGCGUAAAGAGCGUGUAGGCGGCCAUGUAGGUCCGUUGUGAAAACUCGAGGCUCAACCUCGAGACGCCGAUGGAAACCAUGUGGCUAGAGUCCGGAAGAGGAGAGUGGAAUUCCUGGUGUAGCGGUGAAAUGCGCAGAUAUCAGGAGGAACACCUAUUGCGAAGGCAGCUCGCUGGGACGUAACUGACGCUGAGACGCGAAAGCGUGGGGAGCAAACAGG